GGGACUUUUUCACUUUACCACACUUAUUGUUCACUUGUUGUUCACAUGAAAACAUCAGAACUGUCUUCACGGGGCGGUUAAACACAACAAACCUUCUGUUUGUUCCGACAAACUGUAAACAUUAUAACAGAAUAUUAACUAAUAGCAAUCUUACUUUGCUGUGUUUUUUUUACAAACAUAAGUACAUAAAAUACAUAAAAAAAAUACCUAAAAACCUGGAAGACAUAAAAAAAUUCCCCAAAUUAUGAAUUUGUGGCCACACAUUUGUCUCUCAUAGCCACAAAUUGACAUUAAAUGAGCAUUUUGUGCUAACUUAUGCUAUAACUGACAGUUUUUAAAAAUUUAUCAGUUUUAAUAUUUUUUUUUAAUUUUAGGUGCUCCCAGGAGGGUUUCCGCUUUGAGAAGGAGAAAAGGUAAAUCUAAGUUUAAUGUAAAAGGACCAGAUAAAAGCUGUCUAUACUAGCAAAAGAAAAAGCCAAAGUAGUAUUUCUUAAAAUGAAAAUGUACUCAACCUUGUCCAGUGAGAUAAAUCCAGAUGCAUAAAUUGUCUUUUAACUUCUUGAGUUUUUGCUUUAAGGUCUGGAGUCUGUGAGCCCUGUUGAAAAACUUCAAAAACAAGGUCUUCCCAGAAUUGCUGGUCUGGACUCGAAACCUAAGCGGGUCAGACUUGCACCUCUUCUCAAAGCCAAAUUAAAACAGAAGAGCAAGGCUGCAAAAAAAGAAAAAGAGACCAAAAAGCAGGAACACCUCACUGAAUCUGCACCAGAAGUUGGUCCGUGCAGACCUGCACCAGUUUACUGCCCCUCCCCUGCAGGCUGGUAUGGUAAGCAACCAAGAUUUUAA
RNAcentral lists this long non-coding RNA (843 nucleotides) under Oryzias sinensis (Chinese medaka). Its description in RNAcentral is "lncRNA (ENSOSIG00000000747.1)". The record is from RNAcentral. Lineage: Eukaryota; Metazoa; Chordata; Actinopteri; Beloniformes; Adrianichthyidae.